UGAGGAAUAUUGGUCAAUGGACGAGAGUCUGAACCAGCCAAGUAGCGUGCAGGACGACGGCCCUAUGGGUUGUAAACUGCUUUUGCAGGGGGGUAAAGUGAGCGACGAGUCGUUCAUUGCAAGUACCCUGCGAAUAAGGAUCGGCUAAUUCCGUGCCAGCAGCCGCGGUAAUACGGAAGAUCCGAGCGUUAUCCGGAAUUAUUGGGUUUAAAGGGAGCGUAGGCGGAUGAUCAAGUCAGUUGUGAAAGUUUGGGGCUCAACCUUGAAAUUGCAGUUGAAACUGGUUAUCUUGAGUGUACAUAACGGUGGUGGAAUUUGUGGUGUAGCGGUGAAAUGCAUAGAUAUCACGAAGAACUCCGAUUGCGAAGGCAGCCACCGGGGGUGCAACUGACGCUGAGGC
Molecule: ribosomal RNA, 400 nt
Filed under: uncultured bacterium
Lineage: Bacteria
Description: bacterial SSU rRNA
Rfam family: Bacterial small subunit ribosomal RNA
Source: RNAcentral